This 73-nucleotide transfer RNA is filed under the name Bos taurus (domestic cattle). It matches the Rfam family "tRNA". Rfam says of the family: Transfer RNA (tRNA) molecules are approximately 80 nucleotides in length. Their secondary structure includes four short double-helical elements and three loops (D, anti-codon, and T loops). Further hydrogen bonds mediate the characteristic L-shaped molecular structure. tRNAs have two regions of fundamental functional importance: the anti-codon, which is responsible for specific mRNA codon recognition, and the 3' end, to which the tRNAs corresponding amino acid is attached (by aminoacyl-tRNA synthetases). tRNAs cope with the degeneracy of the genetic code in two manners: having more than one tRNA (with a specific anti-codon) for a particular amino acid; and 'wobble' base-pairing, i.e. permitting non-standard base-pairing at the 3rd anti-codon position. Lineage: Eukaryota; Metazoa; Chordata; Mammalia; Artiodactyla; Bovidae. RNAcentral also lists the same sequence under 1 other name. The record is from Rfam by way of RNAcentral.
UCCCUGGUGGUCCCGUGGCUAAGACUCUGCACUUCCAAUGCAGGAGGCCUGGGUUCAAUACCUGAUCAGGGAA